This 361-nucleotide long non-coding RNA is filed under the name Rattus norvegicus (Norway rat). RNAcentral's name for it is "long non-coding RNA NONRATT016956". Lineage: Eukaryota; Metazoa; Chordata; Mammalia; Rodentia; Muridae. The record is from RNAcentral.
GUUUAAUAGUAACUAGUUUAAAAAUUAAGCUCUUUUUGUGUCCUUUAUAGCCUUGACAGCAAUGCUAAUCCACCACUUACGGAGGGGAAGGACCCUACCACCUACAUUUUCUUAAGGGUAUGGAUGCUAACUGUGUAUCUUGUACAUAGGAAGGAGAUGACUCACUCCUUAUAACAGUGGUCCCUGCCAAAUCAUACAGAGCAGCUGCAAACAGGAAGGAUCCUGAGGACCUGGACAGAGAACACAGGAAUGGAAGGGUUAGUCAGGAAGAAGAAAAGACAAGACAUGAAGAAGAGUGCAGAGCUCUCAAAGAAGCAAAAUGCCUUUCAUUGGUCAUGGAUGAUGAAACAGAGGCCAAAAA